RNAcentral lists this long non-coding RNA (229 nucleotides) under Ananas comosus (pineapple). Its description in RNAcentral is "long non-coding RNA (ACOM_LNC011070)". The record is from RNAcentral. Lineage: Eukaryota; Viridiplantae; Streptophyta; Magnoliopsida; Poales; Bromeliaceae.
AACACCUGUAUCUUUUCCCCCAAAAAUUUAAGCUAUCACCGACCGUUCCUAGAGCAACUGGCAAAGGACUUGAUGGUUGGUACUCGAGACCCAAGUUUGAAUCCUAGUUGAUUCAUAUUUUCAGCUAAAUUUAUUUCUAAAUAAAAUAAAUAAAGCGGCGUACUACCUAUCUCUAAAAAAAAAUAAUAAAUUAAGCUAUCAGAAAAUUAAUUAUUUAUAUUCCAACGAA